This is a long non-coding RNA of Sorghum bicolor (sorghum), 2802 nucleotides long. RefSeq lists it as uncharacterized. The record is from RefSeq and is a predicted model, not a curated record. NCBI's taxonomy places the organism in Eukaryota, Viridiplantae, Streptophyta, Magnoliopsida, Poales, Poaceae. The transcript has 5 exons.
GUCCCUUGUGCGACUUCCGUCCGUCGGUCCGCUUCGCCCUGCGAUCCCCUUCCGCUCGCGACCGCGUUUCUCCCCAGCGACAUCUCCCCCAAUCACGCCGCAGAUCGCACCCUCUCUCUUCCCCCAGCCCCUUCGUUCUUCUCCCUAGCGACAUCUCCCCCAAUCACGCCGUCGCAGAUCGCACCCUCUUCCUUCCCCCAGCCCCUUCGUUCUUCUCCCCUGCGACCAUCUCCACCGCGACCAUCUCCCCCGUGUCCCUGGCAGAUCGCGCGUCUCUCCCUGCGUUUGCUGUAGGUGCGCUUCCCCGUCACACCUCACGCCUCGGCACAACAAGGCCAGGAAGGCCGCCGCCUCCUUUGUCGUGGCCUUCGCCACCACUGGCACCAGCGACUCGUGUUGCUUCCACAGCAUCACCGUCAUCCUCGAAGUCGCGCGCCCGUGCCAUCAACGUCGCACACACUGCGACCGCCCUCGCCCGUGGCAUAUGAUAGAAGCAACGUAGAGGCAAGACAAGCAAUGGACGCACACAAGGUGCAAAAUAAGAGUUCAUGAGAAUUGAUCAAUCUCUGCAUCAAGAGAGAAGAGAGAGGCUCUUCCUAGGAAUUCUUGUGUAGUAAUUCGAAAUUGCUAUCGUCCUACAAGGUUGAGGGCCAUGGCAAAGGCGUCCCCAACGUUGCAGUGCAGUAUCCCCUUCACCGCUCCUCUCAGUCUCAGUUGUCGGAUUCCAAGUUUGGAGUUGCCGAGUUGGGUAAUAUAGUGACAACAGAUUUCAAACAUGGUUGGUAGUUUAGUGACUACUGGCUGUAUGGAUGGUUGAAUCAAACUGUCUUUUUCUGAUGGUGUGCUGAUUCUACCUGCAAUAAGGGUCCAAAUUUUUUGCAUUGAAGUCUGGUCCUAUUUUGAUCCAUAGGAGAAGAAGCUUCAGCUCAGCCCCCCUUGCACUAGAAGUAGAACCAUUCCUAAGGUUCUUGCUGCAGAUAGUAUGUUUCAUAGUUUUAGACUAUGACAAAAAGGCUUGCAUCAUUUUCUGGCUUGUGCUGCUUACGGACGGCUACGUAUCGCUAUCUGUUAGUCAGGUGAUCCGACAGACUCAACUGUUUUGAGAAACUUGUGUGUGGGAUUAAGGCAUUCUCUAUUGGAGAACAAAGCUACCAUACGUGGAAUCAGCAGGGUUCAGGUAGGUUACCAAAUAAUUAUUUCUUUCAGCUACCCAGUCUUAUCUGACAUAUAUAGUCAUUGCAGUCUUAAAUCAACUAUAAAUUUGUUGAAUCACCAAAAGAGACAUCUACCCAGUAGAAGGCUUCAUGAGAUUUAUGGAACUUUCAAUUGGUUCUAUGUCUUCUAUGUCCACUUGUUUGAAUUUAUUAGUUGUAGUGAUAAAGACAAGGUAACAAUUUAAUACAGUAUAAUCCUUGCCCUUGGUCUACUGUUUGUGAUUCGUUGUGUGUCAAUUACCACCUCCAGUUGAGGCCUUAGGGAUUAGGGCAAAUCGCUGGUAAUCAUGUUUCUUGUGUGUUGUUUUGUUGCGUGGUUUUCUGCCAAGGUCAUGGAGGUAACAGGUAUGCCUUCAGCUGGAACUUGUGAGGUACCCCACUGACCUCCUCUGUUUCUUGGUUAAUGUCCAAUUUUUGUUGCUAUUACACUGACUAACUGGAUUGAUUGGCUUAUGUCUUGUGCCUGGAUUAUCGGCCAAUAUCAUUCCUUUCUCUUGCUUGCCUAUCAUCUCCUAUCCUGAAAGGUCACAUACUCACAACUUCGUUUCAUACUUACAAUGAUCAUGAUCAACUAUACUGUUUUUAUAGGGGCAACUUGCACGGUUCUGCUCAAGCUUUGUUUUUUGUUGCUCAUCAGCCGACUGUUUCAUUGCUGCUGCCAUAUGCUUCACGAGGAGCCUGAUGCUGCACCCAUGAACACAUCCAAUUUUGGAUAGCUAAUUUAUUUCAAUAAAAUAGAUAAUAUUGUAGUUUUCUGGAGAGCUCUAGCUUGAAUAAACUGGUCAUGAUGAGAGGAUCAGAUAGAGACUUGGUAGGCUGCUCUCUAAAAUGCAUUAUGCAGUCACUGAAAACUUUGUUCCUUAAAUACUAUAUUGUGGUACCCAUAUGAUUCACAUGAGUUUGCAAAUAACUGUAUUUAUUUAAGUGAUAGGAAACAAUCAUUUUUAACGAAGUUGAUCAACUAUGAACUUAGCUGUAUCACAAAAAUGUCUAUAUAGUAGAGUUGGUGAGCCUAUGAUGCCAAACUCUUCAUAGUUGUGUUAAUUUUAUGAACUUUGCUUUUUGAUUAAAUGCCAUUUUAAUAUUGGUAUUUAAUUUUAGAGUAUUGUUUUCUUAUCAUGCGAUCCAUGUGUUUUUAGAUUCGUGGAACUGAUGUAUAGAUUAUUCAAAAUGAAAUAGUGCAUUGUCCAUAUAUAUCUUAUAUAAACCAUUUAUGCCGAAUCUGUGUUUUUGUAGCUUGGAGUCUUAUUCGAACUGUAAGAAGAAGGCUAGGAUUUCUUGGGGUUACUAGAUCAAGAACACCUUGUACUAUCAACUUGCCAUCCCAAACAUGCUCGCAAGGCUGCAGUCCUAUCAUUUGAUCUGUGCCGCUCUGCACAGCCGAUCUUGGUACAUUUUUUGUUGGGAAAUAGUUAUGUUUGGUCCUCGUGCAUGUAGAUGUAUAGUCUGUGACCUAAUUUUUUAUCCAAUUUCCAUUUUGAUGUGCUGUAAUCAGAAGAGGAUUUGCUUACUAUAUUUUGUAUGUCACAAAAUUGUGAUAGCUUACUAUAUUCUGUGUUAUGUCAGCCAUUAAAAUUGCAACAGAAAA